UACGGAGGGUGCAAGCGUUAUCCGGAUUCACUGGGUUUAAAGGGAGCGUAGGUGGCUUUGUAAGUCAGUGGUGAAAUCUUAGAGCUUAACUCUAAAACUGCCAUUGAUACUGCUUAGCUUGAAUCACGUCGAGGUGGAUGGAAUAUUACAUGUAGCGGUGAAAUGCUUAGAUAUGUAAUAGAACACCGAUUGCGAAGGCAGUUCACUAGGCGUGUAUUGACACUGAGGCUCGAAAGCGUGGGGAUCAAACAGG
RNAcentral lists this ribosomal RNA (253 nucleotides) under uncultured bacterium. RNAcentral's name for it is "partial 16S ribosomal RNA". It matches the Rfam family "Bacterial small subunit ribosomal RNA", at positions 524 to 776 of the family's 1533-position model. RNAcentral also lists the same sequence under 1 other name. The record is from RNAcentral.